CGGGCAUGCUCACAGGGACUGCCAUUGCAGCUGUCCCUGGGGUGGAACCUGAGGGCUUCUGGAGGCUCAGUUCUUCACAGACAGGACCACACGGGUGCCAUGGACCACAGGGGCAGAGCAUUGUAAUUUGCAAGUAUGAAUUUGCAGGGGAUCCUGGCCUCCAUGUCUAAUUAAUUAUCAGCACCCUGUAUUUUACCAAUGAAAUGUUUCUUGCCUCUCUCCUCAUCCUCAGAAGCACCCAUUGCUCAUGACCGGACAGGCUCUUGGAGUAACUCUAACUGGUUUCCUCAUACCCAGUUCCUCCCAGCUCCUGGGAACUCCCAGCUCCUCCACCUGGCCACCAGCCUCCAAACCCUGGCUUCCCCCGACCUUCCUGUCCCUCUGGGAUGAGUCUGAUGACAGUAACUCAGAAAUUGAGGCUGCUUUACGCCCCAGAAACCAUAACACCGAUGAUUCU
Molecule: long non-coding RNA, 457 nt
Filed under: Homo sapiens (human)
Lineage: Eukaryota; Metazoa; Chordata; Mammalia; Primates; Hominidae
Description: HSALNT0265283
Source: RNAcentral